UUCGCUAGUAAUCGCGCAUCAGCCAUGGCGCGGUGAAUAUGUUCCCGGGCCUUGUACACACCGCCCGUCAAGCCAUGGAAGCCGGGGGUGCCUGAAGUGUGCAGCCGCAAGGAGCGCCCUAAGGUAAAACCGGUGACUGGGGCUAAGUCGUAACAAGGUAGC
Molecule: ribosomal RNA, 162 nt
Filed under: uncultured bacterium
Lineage: Bacteria
Description: partial 16S ribosomal RNA
Rfam family: Bacterial small subunit ribosomal RNA
Source: RNAcentral